Molecule: small nuclear RNA, 153 nt
Organism: Pteropus vampyrus (large flying fox)
Lineage: Eukaryota; Metazoa; Chordata; Mammalia; Chiroptera; Pteropodidae
Gene: U4
Rfam family: U4 spliceosomal RNA
About the family: U4 small nuclear RNA (U4 snRNA) is a component of the major U2-dependent spliceosome. The structure of U4 snRNA from yeast and human has been reported. U4 snRNA presents a k-turn RNA motif in the 5p-SL related to recognition of Snu13 protein.
Source: Ensembl
AGCUUUGUGCAGCGGCAGUAUCAUAGCCAAUGAGGUUUAUCCAAGGAGUGAUUAUUGCUAAUUAAAAACAAAAUAUGACCACCUUGAAACAAUAAGACAUGUGGAUGGCCUUCCUUACAGAAUCGAUACUCAAGUUUCAUUGAAGCCAGUGGC